RNAcentral lists this ribosomal RNA (253 nucleotides) under uncultured bacterium. Its description in RNAcentral is "partial 16S ribosomal RNA". It matches the Rfam family "Bacterial small subunit ribosomal RNA", at positions 524 to 776 of the family's 1533-position model. The record is from RNAcentral.
UACGUAGGGUGCGAGCGUUGUCCGGAAUUAUUGGGCGUAAAGGGCUCGUAGGCGGUCUGUUGCGUCAGGAGUGAAAACUCGGGGCUUAACCCCGAGCCUGCUUCUGAUACGGGCAGACUAGAGGUAUGCAGGGGAGAACGGAAUUCCUGGUGUAGCGGUGAAAUGCGCAGAUAUCAGGAGGAACGCCGGUGGCGAAGGCGGUUCUCUGGGCAUUACCUGACGCUGAGGAGCGAAAGUGUGGGGAGCGAACAGG